GGGCCGCGAAAAUCCUAAUUUGGCUGUAUUCGUCCCCACUCUUACAGGUAAAUCCCUAUCCUUUUUUCCUUGAUUUUUAGAUUUAAGUAACAGAGGGAGUCUCAUGCUUUGAUUCUUGAAAUAAUGGGUGGAAACUCACAUGCAUGUAUUUCAAAACCUAAAAUCUAGUAAGGGGAAAUGGGUAGAAGUAAGAGACUGUGCUUGAUCACCUAAAUAAGCCCAGGUAGUAAUUGGAACUUCAAUUCUAAAGUACAUGUGUUAAUUUGUGAAUUAGAUUUACGUGGCUAGAUUGCUUUAUGAGUGAGAGUAGGAGUUUAAAAAGGUAAUUCGACUCUAUUUAUGUAUGGCUAAAUUUUUAUCCUUGGGAAAUCGCCUUGUUUGAUGUACGUAUGCUUGGUAGGUGAUAAGUGCGUAAAUUACUUGUGAAUUUCUUGUGAUUGGCACUUUGUGAUUAUGUUAAGUGGUUAUAGUCGAGGAAUAAAUUACUAAAGGGAAUCGUAACAAAUGCAGUUGGGAAUAACUAUGGUAACAAUAUCUAUGGGCUGUCGAAUAUGAUGAAAAUAAUACUGCUGGUUAUGGGAGCACUUGCUAUAUUGUUUUUGUUACUUAUUGUGAAGCAUUGUUGUUGAUCUUGUGAAUUGUUAUUGUUGUUAUGCUGUUUGUGGAUUGGAACUAUUCGGUGGUAUCGGGUUGCACGCCGCAAAACGAAGUUAUAAGAUGCGGGUUAUGGUGAUAAGGGUGGCCGAGCUAAUAAGCGUGGACGAGAUAAUAAGGGCGGAACAAUACUCGAAAUCACUCUUGAAAUAAAUACUUGGGAAAAUUUGUGAAAUCAUUGGUAUGGAAAUUGUGGAAGGUGGGAAACCUGAAGGGUUGAAACUUGUUUGGCUUGAUUGUACUUUUCAUGCGUAAAUUGGUUAUCGCUUCUAUUGCUGUUUUCAACUUGUGUACGACUUGAGUUUACUUGGGACAAAGUUUUUCCAUAUAUACCAGUACAAUUCAAAUGUACUGACAUCUCUUAUUCCGGUGGUGCUACAUUCAUGUUAUGAUUGUAGGUGGAUCUAUAGCAGGUACUCCAGUCACUGAUCAUAGCUCCUUCUCACUUCCGGUCAGCAUAAUUGGUGAUCCCCUCUCCUUCCGGGGCCCUGCGCGGCUCAUGCCAUUUCCGCUCUUGUAUUUAGAGAUCUUGUUUUGGUGUUUGUAAAAGGCAUAGCCUAGGUCUUGUUUCCAGCAAGUAUUGUAUUAUCUUCUUCCAUCUUUAGAGGCUCCGUAGAUAGGAAAUGUAAGUCGUGAACUAUGUAGUAUGUACUUUGUAUUUUGGGCAUUGUAAAUUAUAAACCACG
This 1340-nucleotide long non-coding RNA is filed under the name Nicotiana benthamiana. RNAcentral describes it as "long non-coding RNA (NBEN_LNC005634)". Lineage: Eukaryota; Viridiplantae; Streptophyta; Magnoliopsida; Solanales; Solanaceae. The record is from RNAcentral.